CGUCCUUCCCUCCUGUCUGUUCCCCUUGUUUUCUGCCCUUCCUGUCCUUUUGGUUCCAUCUGGUCCCUGUGUCUGUGUGCGUGUCUCUGUCUGCUCCUUGGUUGCCCCGGUAGGUUUGGUUGGGUCCAUGGGGCGCCGGGAGGCGCCCGUUGAGGGGGGGGUACUGUCACGGUUCCGCUCCUCUGUCCUGUCUGUUUGGUUGUCUCCCAUCCUCUCCUCUGCCCUGUUUGUCUGGUUGUCUCCCAUCCGCUCCUCUGCCCUGUCUCUCCCCUACAGCUCGGUGCCUGAGUGGAGUCUAGCUCCUCAAGCUGACUCCACUCAGGUAAUCAACUACCUGCACAGCUCCCGGACAGCUGAUGAUCAUUCACUAACGACUCACCUCUGCAAUAAAGACCGGCUCAGCCUUCCACUCCCUGCCAGAGCGUUAAACAAGAACCACGCAUUCAGCUGUCCGGGAUCCCACGCCAUCCUCCUACCCCUCCGGCUCUCCCCGACAAACCUUCACCAGUUUCUCCUGCCUGGACCCCCACUCCUGCCUGGACCCCCACUCCUGCCUGGAACCUCCUGCUCCUACACCCUGGUUUUCCCCCACCUAGCCACCAUUUUCACCCCCUACAAUAAACCACUUGCAUUCAGCCAGCCCUGGUAGUGUGGUUUUCUGCUCGGGUCCCCCUGCUCAGUUCGUGACAGAAAGAGAUGAAAACAUGCAUUACCUUUAAUAUAGCAUGGAGACAAGACUCUGGUGGAAUUAUGUAUAUUCUUCUAAUCUUUUUCAGAAAAAAUGUGAAAACAUGCACAAAAAUCAAUCUGAACACCGUUACAAGAAGAAAUGCGAAAAGGAAGUAAAACAUGGAGCAUCAACAGUAAUAAGGUGCUCAAAGCAUUGAAAUAACAUGACAAGCAAACCUGAGAAGUAUUGCAAUCUUUUUUAUGUUUAUGUUGAUCUGGAUGAAGCCAUUCUUCCCUAUGAGUUAACCUUCAGGAUGUAUUCUCACUGAGCCUGUCAUAUGAGAGUUUCAUGACCUGAGCACCAGUUCAACUACUGCACAUUACGUAAAUUGUCGUCAUUAUUGUUUUAUCAUCCUUUAACAUUUAACGGAAAGCAGUUCACAAAAGUGACAGGUAUUCACCUGUGGCAAGCUUACUGACAUGUUAAGUCUUGCAUUAACACUAUCUUCCUGGCAUGCUACCCUUUGUCACUCUGUUUUUAUUUUUUCAUGAAUGCCAACUCAAUAACUGCGUGCCGAGGUGUGGUGAGAUCCAGCUGCAGUGUAUUGUGAAUGUGUUUGGAGAGAGUGCAUGCAUAUACAUGCAAGCACACGCAAUAAAUGCCAGGUUUUGCUUGAAAGAGAGUCUGAAUAUGGAGGAGAUGCCUUUGAGAAGAGAUACGUUUUUUACUGUUUGUCGGAUCAAUGUGUGGAACUUUUUAACCCACAUAACUUUGGAAAUGGAUCAUUUUCAAGUCAAGUUGAAGUGCUACUCAUGAAUAAUCCGCUGCUUGUCCUUGGGUUUUAUGUUUUACUGUAUCUGUGUACUACUUGUAAUUAAAGAUAAGACCACAGAAAAUGGCAAAUUACAGGUCAGUAAUGAGAAAUGCAAUGCAAAGAUUAACACCUUAAUGUAGACGUCCCCCCUUGCGGAAGUUUUAAUGUUUUCAUUCUUCACUGACUGACAGAGUCAGCUUUUUAUGGACUUGUUUUUCCUACUGAUUUAUAUUUUGCACUUGAGCUCCACUUUCUCUGUCAGGAAUGCACUUACUGUCUUUUUAGAUUCAGUCCCAAGAUUGUGUCUUUUGUGAACAUGUCAUCAAAUGGAAAAUUUCUAGUUGCCUUGCACAUCAUUCUGAAUAAAUCUCACACAUUCAACAUGACAUAAAAAGGAUCUUUGAAAACUUGGGGAUCUGUAAUAGAAUUUCAAACUGUGUUUUGUUUUUAUUUAUUUAUUUUUACUUUUGUUUUGAGUGUUUGAACAAGAUUUGGAUGGACAGCAUAAGAUUGUAAUUACCAACCCACUGGUGGAACACUGUUUGUUACUAGUUCAAAUGUCAAUGCAUCACUGUCACAUUAAUUAUUGCUGCUCUAACAUUGAAAAGUGGCAGAAUCUCACAAUUUUUCUUCAGUGAAAUUUACUGAUAUAUUUUUGAGCCGCACUAUUGCUGUUAGCUCCUCAUCACGAGGGUGUUGCAGGUGGAGAUGGAACAUCACUUGUACUGAAAUGCAUCCUAAUAGCUCAAUCACACAUGCACACCCACACACAUUCAGGACAUUUGAUAUGAGACUAAUACUGGGAAACCAAGGCCUUGAGGCAGCCUUGGCAUUUCAUGGAUCUGAGAGACAGAUUGAGCUCAGAUGGUUCAGGAUUUAUGAUGCGAGGCGAGCAACCUGAGGGACAAGCCAGCUCCUCCCUGAGCUGGCAGCCACUAGUGAUGGAGAGAUUUACAGUCAGGAUAUUAAAGGUGAUUGCUCAUAAACCAUGGGAAAAGAAAAAUGUACAUAUAAAUGCCAUAUUCUUGUAGACAACUGAAUUAAAAUGUAGGAACUCCUAGAUUGUGUUCUAUCUUGAAAUUUCAGAGAAAACAAAACAUAUGUGAACAAUGACCAUAAGUCAAAUGUUAACAGAGCUAUGAAUCCCUAACUAAAGACCUGUGUGGUGUAUAGUUGGCAAAUCAUGAUCAAGACCUAUAGAAAGUAUGUAUAACAAAGGUGGUUUGUGUGGUCUAUGGUGUUUGCCCACUCUUAGUGCCAUUGUAUGUACAGUAAAUCUGGAAGAGGUUGUCUUUUCAACAAACUGUCAAACCCCUAUGAAAUAUGCAUACGCUGCACAGGUCUGCAGCGCAGUGCUGUGUUUAUCCAAUGCUAAUGAGCGUGGUUAGCCCUGCAGAAAGAGUUCAUGAUUGUCAAUACAGUGUUUGUACUGGCUCCAUGCACCUUCUCCAUGCUUUGUUAAUGUGGGAUCAGUAUAUUAUCAUUAAAAUGACUGUUUUUGUGGACGUAUAGUCCAAUAAAGUCAGAUUUGCGUG
Acanthochromis polyacanthus (spiny chromis) is the source of this 3019-nucleotide long non-coding RNA. RefSeq lists it as uncharacterized. The transcript has 2 exons. Lineage: Eukaryota; Metazoa; Chordata; Actinopteri; Pomacentridae. The record is from RefSeq and is a predicted model, not a curated record.